RNAcentral lists this non-coding RNA (221 nucleotides) under Rossellomorea marisflavi. Its description in RNAcentral is "Bacillus marisflavi T-box sequence". It matches the Rfam family "T-box leader". Rfam says of the family: Uncharged tRNA acts as the effector for transcription antitermination of genes in the T-box leader family. Lineage: Bacteria; Bacillati; Bacillota; Bacilli; Caryophanales; Bacillaceae. The record is from RNAcentral.
UCAUAUUCAAUGACGAGAACAGUAGGGUGAUAGCGUGUCCCAAAGAGAGCCGGGUUGCUGGGAACCGGCGGAUGCCAUGAUCUGAAGAUCCUCUCCGAGAAACAAGGCUGAAACGAUGCAGUAAGCUUUGUCGGUCUUCACCGUUAAGAAGACGUUUCAUAGAGUGCCGGACCCGUGAGGACCGGAACUAGGGUGGUAACGCGAUCAGACUCGUCCCUAUU